AUUGAACGCUGGCGGCAUGCCUUACACAUGCAAGUCGAACGGCAGCACGGGAGCAAUCCUGGUGGCGAGUGGCGAACGGGUGAGUAAUAUAUCGGAACGUGCCCAGUCGUGGGGGAUAACGUAGCGAAAGCUACGCUAAUACCGCAUACGAUCUAUGGAUGAAAGCGGGGGAUCGCAGACCUCGCGCGAUUGGAGCGGCCCGAUAUCAGAUUAGGUAGUUAGGUGAGGUAAAGGCUCACCAAGCCGACGAUCUGUAGCUGGUCUGAGAGGACGACCAGCCACACUGGGACUGAGACACGGCCCAGACUCCUACGGGAGGCAGCAGU
This 326-nucleotide ribosomal RNA is filed under the name uncultured bacterium. RNAcentral's name for it is "bacterial SSU rRNA". It matches the Rfam family "Bacterial small subunit ribosomal RNA", at positions 30 to 355 of the family's 1533-position model. The record is from RNAcentral.